UUGAACGGUAACAGAGGAGUUUUCGUUAGCCUUUUUUUUCUUAAAAUUCUUAUUCGGAUAUAUGAAAUGCUUAUAAUAGUGCUAUUUAUUGAAGAGUGACAUUGAAAAAAAAUUCUCGGAAAAAGUAUGAUCUUAAAAUGUAGAUCAGUAUGUCUUUACGCAAGUGCAUUCACAUUUCUAUUAUUGAUUGAUUAUUCAACAGGAAUCCCUCCAGAGAGUUUUUUUUUAAUAAAAGAUUAAAGCAUUUAACUUUUUCUGGGAUUGUGGAGUUGCAGUGAGUUGCAUCUUAUUUAUAAUUUUAUUUCUAAUUGAACAGUGAAUUCUUUCAAAGGAUAUUCUUGGUCAUGACGAGAUUGACUCGAAUCAAAUGGAUUUUUGGAUUCGAUCGAAAAGAGGAGUUGCAUUGCUGAUUUAACAGAAACAUUGAUAACCGCUUAGAUCGUAUUUCCGCACUAGCUAUAUCCGUAUUGUAUUAUCAGUGAGAUCAGUGGCCUUGGAUGCGUCAUUUAUGUCAGUCCAAACGUCUUUUAGGAUAACAAUAGUGUGUAGAUAGUUCUGAAAAGAAUUAGUUUCUUAGUUCUCAUUCACAUAUCAAUUUCAUCGGGGAAAAAUACCUGAGAAGAGGUUCUGUACUGAUUAUCUCGAAUAUACUUCAUUUCAAAAUAUUUCUUCAUCCAAAACCCGCAAAAAUGUCCUGGAUAAUCAGUUUCAGUACGGAAAUCAAGCAUUCAACGUAUGCUAAAUGCAGUUCGCACCGUUUCGAAAGGUGAACUUUAUCAUCAAUUAUCAAAAAAAAAUUUAAUAAAUCCUGCAACCAUGCGCACACUAACUACUUUUGAUUACAUCCCCCCACCCAUUUCUCACUACGUCAUCCAUUUCCAUCGUUUUUCCCUUGAAUUACAAUUAAUCUCUGUCAGAAUGACAGAACUUUUCUUUGUCUCGAAGAUAACGUGGAAGUGAUGAGAUAUGAUCAAGAGACAAGUGAAUACUGCGGUUGGGUGUGUCCUCAGUAUGUUUUGGAGUUCAAGGAUACAAAAGAAACUUUUGGGGACUCAAUUGUCGUGCUGAAAGGACGAUGAAAAAAAUUUGCAUAAUUUUCUCCUGACAUUUCGUUCUCUCCAAUGAAUUUUCAGAUUCUCAAGCCCUAAAGUUGGGAUUAUAAAAACGAAAGUGUUCCCCAAAACGUAGAUUUACUUUGAUUUUUCCAGGCGGAAGUUCAUCAUUUAUUGCAUUUCAAGGACUGCAUAUCAGCUCAAGAUUUUUUUAUUUAAAAUUUUCAGUGAAAACAGUGGCAAGAAUUAUGGAAUUGAUAACGCGGCUGACCAAAUAGCUGCUGUUACAUAAUUGUUAUUGAGAUAUUUAAAUACAUUGGAAAUCCUCUGGUGUUAUGCAGUGAGUUAUCAUAUAAUGAAACCAUUCACGCAGCGAAUGUGAUAAGCGCUGAUAAAAAUCACACAAUUGUGAAGAGGGUGUAACACCGGGCCAUAUUAAUAGGUUCCAUCGAUCGAACAGUCUUGGUUGCCAACAGGAAAUAGAACGUUCAUUCUUCCUUCAGAUCAAAAGCUUCUAUUUAUUUUUCACAGCUCAUUUCAAUGGCAGUUCUGAUGUAAACUUUUAUUGAUUUUUACUGUUCGGAGAGAAAACCAUCCAGUGGGAAUAGAAGAUUGAUUAAAAAAUCCUGCAAUAUUUUCUGAUAUUUUAAUGUCAAGAAUCAUUCUGGCAUUAAUAACAUUAAAAUUUAGACUUAUCAAGUGGUGAUUGAAGAACUGUUGGGAAUAACUACCCCAUUGAGGACCAUUAUCUGUGCGUUAGAUUGAAAUAUUCAAGAGACAAUCAAAGGUAUUGUUUCAUUUUCCAUAUUUUUUUAAAGAUGACAUAUGUAUAUAUAUCUAUAUAUCUUACGUAAUGUAAAUAUCUACAUAUAAUGAUUCUGGUGUGUCCAGAAUCACAAUCAGGACUAGACUGAAUAAUUCAAGCAACGAAAUCAAUGCUGCUACCGUUAUAAAUAUUGAUUAUUUCUCAUAGAAUGAAUUAAACAAUAAAUAAAAUAACUGAAAAAAAUACAGUUCAAACUGCUGCACUUACUCGCCAUUUUCGUCCUCUUCAAGUAGUAAACUCAUCGUUUAUCUUCCUUUCUGCUAAAUCGAACAGCUGAGUCCUGUGAGAUUUUGGUCAAGGCCACCUGCACCCUUCAAAUUAGUAUCUAUUAUUGUUGAAUAUUCUAUAAUCUCUUAUGCGCACAACGAACGAGGGCUGAUUGAUAGCGUUGAUGAACGAAUCUUUAGCUUAAAUAUGUUGGAAUGUUGAUUAUGUACAACAAAAAGGCCCCUUGAACGGAGAGGUGAAACCACAAUAAGCUGGAGAGACGAAAAACACCUAGCUGUGUACGACAAUCAUCGGUGGGCGCGUUGCGCUUGCGCUGAAUCGUCGUGCCGCCUCUACCGCUUCGCCGCCAUUGCGCCGGUAAAGAUUCUUAACUACCCCUCGGUGCUCGUCCAAGGGGUGGAAAGUAGAUCAACCGUCCUGCGAGGACUUCUUUCAAUAUUCCGCCCGCCACCCUCGUUCAUGACAUUUGAAACCGAAUGGGCGUGAACGCCCGUCACUAGAUUAAUUGACCCUGGAUUGGUCGCCCCAUGAGAUAAAUACUGUGGUGUGUGCUUUUUAUUAAAUUGAUGCCAAUCAACUGAUGGGAAACAUUUUAGAAAAUUGAGUUUUGCAAUUGGAGAGUCUUAAGACUUAUGUUACCUUCGGAAGAAUCUAAUGUCCUAAAUUAUUAAAAAAAUUAUUUCUUGAAGGACAAUUAUUUCUUUUAUGGUGAUGACAAUGUCUAAGAUGCGAGAUGUCCGGAAAAUGGCCAAGCGAGUUCCCAAGGGGAUGGACCGGAUGGACUCAGUGGAGGGUCAGUCCUGAGGGUUUGAUUGAGGCCACCAGCAUUUUAGUACCUCACCCCAGAAGAAGGAGGGUGCGGCAUGCAAAUCCUGGGGUGUCUGACAGUCAGUGACCUCUGUGUGCCACAGGAUGAACCCUCAUCCUGUGUAUAUGAAUCUCUGGUGCCACCAGCCGCCAGAAUCGGCAGUCGUGCCUCUCACCGCCGGGGUCAUUACUAACAUCGGCAUGAGUUCUUUAUUAGUCUAUUCUCUUUGCCACAAAAGUUAGGAAGUACCUAGGGCCGCCCCUAGGGUUCACGGCGCUUUUUACCACCUUACAAAAUGGCCGACACGCCAGCUCGAACUAGUAAGAGGGUUCUGUCUGUGGCGUACAGAGGUCAAAGUUGACCAUAGAAAAAAUUAUAUAAAAAGGCAAACUCAAGCGCAGGAUUAAAAUUUUCUUCUUUUGACACCACUCACCUCCAAGAAAAAUUAAUUCAAAUAACUUAAUCGCUGAUUGUUGUUUCUAUUCUAAAUAUAAAAUAUAGAGGAGGUUAAACAUGCUGCUUAUUCGGGAACUCCUUAUCAGAAACUGCGUUUAUUUAAUUUUUUGCUUUUUUUCUUCUCUUUUUUUUACCAUUAAUGUGUAGUAUUUAUUAUAAAUAAGUUAGAAACAUUGAUUUUCCUUGGGCCACACACAGAAUGAAUACCCAACAUAUGAUGUUUCUCAGAAAAAAAGUAUGCUUUUUUGUUAUUAAUUUUUUUCAUGUUUUUUUUUUCUUUUUCAUUUAUGUUUGACAAGAAAUGAUUUACAAAUGAACUACAGCCACAAAUUUGUAUUAUUUUUUCUCUUUUUCCAUCUGUCGUCAUGUUUCCUUUUAUUUCCGUGCUUUCUUUUUAUCAUGAAAA
This is a long non-coding RNA of Diachasmimorpha longicaudata, 3776 nucleotides long. RefSeq lists it as uncharacterized. Lineage: Eukaryota; Metazoa; Arthropoda; Insecta; Hymenoptera; Braconidae. The record is from RefSeq and is a predicted model, not a curated record. The transcript is spliced from 2 exons.